CUAGCGGACUUCAUGGCUGUAUAAUAAAACUUCAACAGCACUAACCUGGCUUAAACCAUACAUGUUUUUGUGCACAUGACAACAGCAAAAACAGUGAAGAUAUGUUCCAAAAAGUAAGACUAGGUUAAUUCGUGUUGAGCAUUAAUUUAUUUGUGAUGUCAUGUGUAAAACGAGUAAUCAUUUAGUAGUAGUAAAAUAAGCAUUUUUUAAAUUAUUAUUAUGAGAAAGUGAUAUUGUGUGUGACACAUAACUAUACCUUGGCAGGUAAAGUUACUAUUAAGACUACAAAUAAUUUCUUAACUUUUUAUAUUGACAGGCAUUUUGACAAGAUGAGAGGUUCAAUGAACUUAAGUCACCACAGACUGUAUAUAUAUAAAAACACUGCACAGAUCACAUAAACUAUCACAUAUAAGGUAAAUGACAUACAAAAUUAAAAUACCCAGAGGAAAACUUAUGGUGGGGGUUAUGAAAAGCCACCUAGUGUCAUAUGACUGAAUUUUUAUGAGGCUAAUAUAUUGGUAAAAAACACAAUUAGGUUUGAGACCAAAGGCUAAAAGUGACUGAUAAAUGCAGCGUGGCAUUUCUGGGCUUUUGAAAAGUUUUAAAAAUAUAAAAUACGAAGAGUGAUAGUUGACUUUGUUGAUGGCUAGAGGUUUCCUGUCAAUAGUUUUAUAGGCUUUUCUUUUACAAUGGCGGCCUAUGGGGAAAAUGCUUUUUCGUUGCUGUACCUGGAAAAAAACACUGUUGCAAGGCUGAGCGGCGGCACCGUGUCCAGUUCUUAUGAUACACAGUAUGAUCCAGACCAUAUCGGUAUCCUACCUUCCGCCCUAAAAGACCAAUCAGAGGCAGCUGCUAGCCGGAACAGAAUCACUUGGCCAAUUGGCGUCCUGUCUGCCGUGUCCCCAUUGGCCAGGACGUCUGGGAGGGGAGCGCGGGGAGGCGGAGAAACGUAGUCGGAAAGCAGAUUUAAACUAAUGUCAGAACCAUCACCUCGGUUUGUCAGUACUGUUAGGAAACUCAAUUACCGAAGAAGCCUGGGUGCUAAAACAAGCAGUGGAUCUGUUUUUUUUGGCGAACACAAAUGAGGCUGGACACUGAAUACACCUGCGGCGCGAAGGUGUCACCACUUCGUCCACAACAUCGUCCAUGAUUGCUGAGACAUUGUCCGCGAUCAGAGAGACAUUGUUGAGGAUGAGGGAGACAUCGUCCACGAUCAGAGACAUUGUCCAUGACUCGUGGUGACUCGGUCCCCGAUAAGUCGGCAUUGCUGGCGUUCAGAGAGACAUUGUCAAUGAUCGUAGGGACUUUGUCCAUAAUCUCAGAGACAUUGUCCGUGAACGCAGAGACGUCGUCCACAAUCGCAGAGACAUGGUCCAUGAUCGGAGAGACAUUGUUGAGGAUGAGGGAGACAUCGUCCACGAUCAGAGACAUUGUUCGCGAUCGCAGAGACCUUGUCAAAGACGAGAGAGACGUUGUCCAUGAUCAGAGACAUUGUCCCAUGCUUCGUAGAGCUCUGUACAAGAAUCGGUAGAGACACUGUGGUUCCUCGAUUCGACGGCAUGACCGCGAUCAUGGAGACAUUUGUCGAUGAUCACAGAGACAGCGUCUAUGAUCUCAGAGACAUCGUCCACGAUCAUAAAGACAUUGUCCAUGAUCACAGAGACUUUGUCCAUAAUCUCAGAGACAUUGUCCGCGAUCACAGAGACGUAGUCCACGAUCACAGAGAGUCUUCGUACAAUGAAGAAGUUCUUUGAGACCAGGACAGAGGCCUUCAGGUGUCACCACUUCAUCCACGACAUCGUCCACGAUCACCGAGACAUGGUCCAUGAUCGGAGAGACAUUGUUGAGGAUGAGGGAGACAUCGUCCACGAUCAGAGACAUUGUCCACGAUCGCAGAGACCUUGUCAAAGACGAGAGAGACGUUGUCCAUGAUCAGAGACAUUGUCCCAUGCUUCGUAGAGCUCUGUACAAGAAUCGGUAGAGACACUGUGGUUCCUCGAUUCGACGGCAUGACCGCGAUCAUGGAGACAUUUGUCGAUGAUCACAGAGACAGCGUCUAUGAUCUCAGAGACAUCGUCCACGAUCAUAAAGACAUUGUCCAUGAUCACAGAGACUUUGUCCAUAAUCUCAGAGACAUUGUCCGCGAUCACAGAGACGUAGUCCACGAUCACAGAGAGUCUUCGUACAAUGAAGAAGUUCUUUGAGACCAGGACAGAGGCCUUCAGGUGUCACCACUUCAUCCACAACAUCGUCCAUGAUUGCUGAGACGUCGUCCGCGAUGAGAGAGACAUUGUUGAGGAUGAGGGAGACAUCGUCCACGAUCAGAGACAUUGUCCAUGACUCGUGGUGACUCGGUCCCCGAUAAGUCGGCAUUGCUGGCGUUCAGAGAGACAUUGUCAAUGAUCGUAGGGACUUUGUCCAUAAUCUCAGAGACAUUGUCCGUUAUAGCAGAGACGUCGUCCACAGUCGCCGAGACAUGGUCCAUGAUCGGAGAGACAUUGUUGAGGAUGAGGGAGACAUCGUCCACGAUCAGAGACAUUGUCCACGAUCGCAGAGACCUUG
Molecule: long non-coding RNA, 2562 nt
Organism: Lates calcarifer (barramundi perch)
Lineage: Eukaryota; Metazoa; Chordata; Actinopteri; Centropomidae
Exons: 4
Source: RefSeq, a predicted model, not a curated record